GCUACUGCUACUUUCAACUCGCUGGAUCAAACAUUCGUUGAAUAUCUUGAACAGUCGAGUAUCGACAAAGUUGAGGAGGUGUUAUAGCUCACUAUUGAAUCAAGCUGGAUGGAUCCGAUCGUCCAGUACUUGACUGAUGAAAUUCUUCCUAAAAAUUUUUCAGAAGCUAAAUGACUCCGAUGGACGGCCUCUCAAUAUGUAAU
This 203-nucleotide long non-coding RNA is filed under the name Elaeis guineensis (African oil palm). Its description in RNAcentral is "long non-coding RNA (EGUI_LNC074465)". Lineage: Eukaryota; Viridiplantae; Streptophyta; Magnoliopsida; Arecales; Arecaceae. The record is from RNAcentral.